CCUGACUGCUAUCGGAUUGAUACUAAGCCAUGCGAGUCUUUGCAGUAAUGCAAGGCAUACGGCUCAGUAACACGUAGUCAACUUACCCUAUGGACGAGGAUAAUCUCGGGAAACUGAGCAUAAUACUCGAUAGAUCAUAAUGCCUGGAAUGGUUUAUGGUUGAAAUGAUUCGUCGCCAUAGGAUGGGACUGCGGCCUAUCAGCUUGUUGGUGAGGUAAUGGCCCACCAAGGCGAUUACAGGUACGGGCUCUGAGAGGAGAAGCCCGGAGAUGGGUACUGAGACAAGGACCCAGGCCCUAUGGGGCGCAGCAGGCGAGAAAACUUUGCAAUGUGCGAAAGCACGACAAGGUUAAUCCGAGUGAUUUCUGCUAAAGAAAUCUUUUGCAAGUCAUAAAACCACUAGUGAAUAAGGGGUGGGCAAGUUCUGGUGUCAGCCGCCGCGGUAAAACCAGCACCUCAAGUGGUCAGGAGGAUUAUUGGGCCUAAAGCAUCCGUAGCCGGCUCUGUAAGUUUUCGGUUAAAUCCAUGUGCUCAACGCAUGGGCUGCCGAAAAUACUGCAUAGCUAGGGAGUGGGAGAGGUAGACGGUACUCAGUAGGAAGGGGUAAAAUCCUUUGAUCUAUUGAUGACCACCUGUGGCGAAGGCGGUCUACCAGAACACGUUCGACGGUGAGGGAUGAAAGCUGGGGGAGCAAACCGGAUUAGAUACCCGGGUAGUCCCAGCUGUAAACGAUGCAGACUCGGUGAUGCAUUGGCAUAUAGCCAGUGCAGUGUCGCAGGGAAGCCGUUAAGUCUGCCGCCUGGGAAGUACGUACGCAAGUAUGAAACUUAAAGGAAUUGGCGGGGGAGCACCACAAGGGGUGAAGCCUGCGGUUC
RNAcentral lists this ribosomal RNA (875 nucleotides) under uncultured archaeon. RNAcentral's name for it is "bacterial SSU rRNA". It matches the Rfam family "Archaeal small subunit ribosomal RNA", at positions 21 to 903 of the family's 1478-position model. The record is from RNAcentral.